UACGUAGGUGGCAAGCGUUGUCCGGAUUUACUGGGCGUAAAGAGCGCGCAGGCGGUCGUUCAAGUCGCGUGUGAAAGCCCCCGGCUCAACUGGGGAGGGUCACGCGAUACUGAUCGACUCGAAGGCAGGAGAGGGAAGUGGAAUUCCCGGUGUAGUGGUGAAAUGCGUAGAUAUCGGGAGGAACACCAGUGGCGAAGGCGACUUCCUGGCCUGUUCUUGACGCUGAGGCGCGGAAGCUAGGGGAGCAACGGG
RNAcentral lists this ribosomal RNA (252 nucleotides) under uncultured bacterium. Its description in RNAcentral is "partial 16S ribosomal RNA". It matches the Rfam family "Bacterial small subunit ribosomal RNA", at positions 524 to 775 of the family's 1533-position model. The record is from RNAcentral.